GUGCCUAAUACAUGCAAGUCGAGCGGACGGAUGGGAGCUUGCUCCCUGAAGUCAGCGGCGGACGGGUGAGUAACACGUGGGCAACCUGCCUGUAAGACUGGGAUAACUUCGGGAAACCGGAGCUAAUACCGGAUAAUGCAUUUCCCCUCAUGGGGAUAUGCUGAAAGAUGGUUUCGGCUAUCACUUACAGAUGGGCCCGCGGCGCAUUAGCUAGUUGGUGAGGUAACGGCUCACCAAGGCAACGAUGCSUAGGCNACCUGUGAGGGUGAUCGGCCACACUGGGACUGAGACACGGCCCAGACUCCUACGGGAGGCAGCAGUAGGGAAUCUUYCGCAAUGGACGAAAGUCUGACGGAGCAACGCCGCGUGAGUGAUGAAGGUUUUCGGAUCGUAAAACUCUGUUGUCAGGGAAGAACAAGUGCCGGAGUAACUGCCGGCACCUUGACGGUACCUGACCAGAAAGCCACGGCUAACUACGUGCCAGCAGCCGCGGUAAUACGUARGUGGCAAGCGUUGUCCGGAAUUAUUGGGCGUAAAGCGCGCGCAGGCGGUCUCUUAAGUCUGAUGUGAAAGCCCACGGCUCAACCGUGGAGGGUCAUUGGA
This 603-nucleotide ribosomal RNA is filed under the name Bacillus sp. SP10. RNAcentral describes it as "bacterial SSU rRNA". It matches the Rfam family "Bacterial small subunit ribosomal RNA", at positions 44 to 630 of the family's 1533-position model. The record is from RNAcentral. Lineage: Bacteria; Bacillati; Bacillota; Bacilli; Caryophanales; Bacillaceae.